AUUGAACGCUGGCGGCAGGCCUAACACAUGCAAGUCGAGCGGUAGAGAGGUGCUUGCACCUCUUGAGAGCGGCGGACGGGUGAGUAAAGCCUAGGAAUCUGCCUGGUAGUGGGGGAUAACGCUCAGAAACGGACGCUAAUACCGCAUACGUCCUACGGGAGAAAGCAGGGGACCUUCGGGCCUUGCGCUAUCAGAUGAGC
RNAcentral lists this ribosomal RNA (200 nucleotides) under uncultured bacterium. RNAcentral describes it as "partial 16S ribosomal RNA". It matches the Rfam family "Bacterial small subunit ribosomal RNA", at positions 30 to 230 of the family's 1533-position model. The record is from RNAcentral.